AUCGGGCUGAACACGGUGCGCUUCACCUCGGAGUUCCCACUCCACUCCAAGGAUCCAACAGCGCACAAGCUGCUCUUCACGGGCAACUACCUCUGCAAGCUUCACCCCCGGCCCCGCCACGCCCCGCAGGGUUCCCUGUCUGGUCUGGAUCACCUCGCUCUCCCUGCGCCUCUCUCCUUGGCCUAGCUAGACAAGUGCUUCUCACGAUCCAGCGCGUUUACCGCUCGGUUUCGUCGCCGCUAAGGGGUGGUGGUGUCUGAUCCGUCAGGCUCUGCGCUUCUCUCUCGGAUCCAUCCUCAAUGUCCAGGCAGGACUCUCACAUGAAGCCGGUGCUGUCUGCUGUUCACUCUAAGAUGUCCAGCCACUCAGGACAGUUACGAUCUGUCAUCCAGGGCCCAAACCGACUCUCCUCUAUUGCUAUCUGAGGUAGGCAGUCUCCUCUGUGAGGUCGGUCCCAUCCAUACUGCCUAGAUCCCUGCGCAGGAAGACUGAGAUGAGGACCCUAGGAGACAGCAGCCAGGGAUAGCGAAGGUGGAGGAUGAGUAUAAAUAGCGACCCCAGCGCGAUCAGAGAAGCUCCCUUACCCCCACCCAUCGCAGUGGGAGUGAGUCUUCAGAUCUACCCCCAAGACAACGAAAUCCUACCCGGGCCAUUGAAGGGAAACCUCCACUCCAACCCCCAGAAGACGCCUUAGAUGAGAAAGUGAAGAGAUAUUGUAUGAGCUCAUUCAUCAAAGGCCAUGCCAUCACCAGCUCAGGCAGUGCUGCUAGGGGAUUCCUGCCUCUCUGGAGGUCCAGUUCUCUCUGAAGACAGAGAAGAUGCAGGGAGGAAGGGUUUCAAACAGGAACUCUCAACCCACGUCUGCCAGUUGUAGACUCUGUAAACAAAGUUCCAACUCGCCCGCUGCUGCCACUGCCGCUGCUAUUUUUUGAGGUCAAGACUCUUCCACCUGUAUGCCCAUCUUCAUAGACCGGCCCAUCACUGGUGCCUCAAGCAUUUUCACUAUCACAGCCAGUAAUCUGCAGACUCAACCUCAAGCCUACUUUGUACUUUGGUAUAAACUGCAUGGAUACCAAUCCCUUUUCACAGGUUUUCAUCUCCUGGUCUCCCAUAGGAUCCAGGAUGAGUAUCCUCCCAUUUGACCAGUUCCAUCCCAGUAUGGAGCAGAUAUCCCUUGUAAAGAACACAGUCUCCACCAGCCCACCUGCUUUUAUGGUCAACAGCCCUACCUGAAUUUCCAACAUUGCCUUUUGACCCAAGAAACACCUAUCACCUGAAAUCUAGGGUUCCAGACAGGCAUCAACAGGAAACCACUCUCUUCAAUGCCCUGUCUUUUCUGGCCCACCUACCACUGCUUCUGCAGUCACCUCCACUAUAGUAAGCAGACCCUCUUCAGACUUGGCAUCCAAGCCUGCCUUUUACUCUGAUGAAAUCAACAUGGAUACCAUGCCCAUUUCCCCAUCUGUUAUCUUCCUGUCUCUCCCUGCAAUGUUAACAGCUGUUUCCCUUUGAAGAACCUGGCAGCCCCCAGAAAUCCUUCCUACUUAACCUCUACUGCAGCCCUGGAACCCAAUGACAGCACCACUCAGGCAGCUUUUGGGAAUUUGACUCCCCCAUGUCCACCUUUGGCAUCUGCUAUGGUUUGAAUGUGUCAACCAAAUUUCGUGUAUUAAAAACUCAAUCCCCAAA
RNAcentral lists this long non-coding RNA (1689 nucleotides) under Homo sapiens (human). RNAcentral's name for it is "HSALNT0397566". Lineage: Eukaryota; Metazoa; Chordata; Mammalia; Primates; Hominidae. The record is from RNAcentral.